Molecule: long non-coding RNA, 631 nt
Organism: Eucalyptus grandis
Lineage: Eukaryota; Viridiplantae; Streptophyta; Magnoliopsida; Myrtales; Myrtaceae
Exons: 3
Source: RefSeq, a predicted model, not a curated record
CAAAAUUCUCUCUCAACUCACAUAAGGUAAUCUGUGAGUGGCGGUCUCAUCAAGCCAGGAUCCGAGGGUUAUAGAGGAGAAGAUCUUCAGCAUUGAAGGCCCGGAUUCCUGUCAUUUUGCUCCAAGAACGAUGAAUACCAAAUCAGGUUGCGUAAGAAUUAUAGCAAUAACAUCACUCACUGGUUUUCUCAGUUCUCCUUGUUAAGAGUUUUCUUGAUGGAGAGCGACAACUGUGCUCAAAAUUGCUCGGGGUUUCUGUAUUUCCCUCCUCCAUCAGCGUGGACAGUCCCAAUUUCUGUAUCGUACGACAACAACGACACUCCGUGGUGGGACACUCCGAAGAGCACCAUAAUCGUCCUAGUCAUCGUCGCUGUCAUAGUAAUCGGUGGGUUCCUUUGCAAAAGUCAUCUUACUCGUGAGGACACAACUGCUCCGCCAGAGAAGAAUUCGAAAAGUGAGACUGUACCAGAGAAGGAUUCGAAAAGUGAGACUGUAUAGUUUAUCAACAUGAAAAAAAAAAAAAAAAAAAGUGAUUGUUGAACAUCAAAAUAGGUAAUUGUGGGAUGUGAAAAGAAGUGAUGGUUGAUUAUGAAAAGUGGUAACGGUUUGAAUAAAGUACUCAUUUUCAAGA